CCCCCGGGCGCGCCCCGUCCCACCCCAUCCCGCAGCCCCGGGCAUUGUUCGGCCGCCCCCUCCCCUUUUUUCCCUUCCCCUCCGGUGCCGUGCCGUGCCGUGCCGUGCCUCCUACCCCAGCUGCUCCUUUCCCUACGGUUCCGGGCCAUGGUGGGGGCUGCCCGGGGCUACCCGGGAGGCGGUGUCGGUGGCUACGGGAGGCUCCGUGCGCGCUCCGAGCCGCGCUGCGUCUGGCGAGGCUGCCGCGGGGGCGGGGGGCGGGCGGGGGCACCGGCAGCACCCCCGCCCGCUUCUACGGCACGGCUCGGCUCGGCACAGCACGGCUCGGCUCGGCACAGCACGGCACGGCAAGGGACGGAGCCCCAAGGGGUGCCCGCAGCCGGAGCCGGCUCGUCCCCGGGCGCUGCGCACCCUGCGCCGGGUACCCACGGCUCGGCCCCCCGCUGUCAUCCCCCCGUGGGGUGGGUGGGGGUGGAGGUAGGGGGUGAGCUGCAGAAGGGUAGCCCAAAGGGGUAGCCCAAAGGGCUGGGGGUCACGCCUGCACGCCCCUCGCCCCGGGAUUGUGUCCUGCUUGGGGUGCCCUGAAGGUCUGGGGGUGCACACGCACCAUGGACACCCCCUCCCCAUGCACACUUGGGCUCCCCAUGCACACAGUAGGCAGAAAUCCUGCCCUGCUCACCCCUGGUGCACACUAGGGUGAAGAAAUCACUGGUCGGAUCCUGCCCUGGGGUGCUGCCCCCCAUCCAUGGCAGCAGCAUCCCCAGGAGGUGCGCUCUGCACCUCUGGAUGCAGCGCAAGAGGUGCCAGGGUUGGGCACCCCAGGAUUGAGCUGCCCCACAGCUGGUAACACACCCCCCAGUUCCCCCGUAUCAGCAAGCGGUCAUGUUUGGGAUGGUAACGAGAGGGUUUCCCUUGUGUCUGGGGUUGAUUCACUGCUCUGUCACGCGAGACCGUGACUCAGCCUGAGCGCAAGGGAACGCCCAGGCGUGAAACUCGGGCAGGGGAGCAGCAGCACCAGCCCCGGCCGUGCCCCAACUGGCCCUCGCCCACAGCUUAUGGCCUGUGUUGAUGCUUGCCCACGCUUCUGCUCGCCAAGAAGCAGAUUGAGCCACCCGGCACAGCUCCGUGCUGCCCUUUGGAAGGAGCACGGUGCAGCACUCGAGGCACAGCCACCUAAACUGGAAAUGCUGGGGGAGCGCUGCUCCAUGCUGCACGCUGGCCUGCGGUGGUCAGGGAAAACCCAGAUGGCUGCUCGGCCUCGUUGGGUUCGCAGGAACCAUCGGGAUCUGUUCUUUGUGAAAGCAGGGAAAACACACAAAAAUGAUGUAAUGUUCCAGUAGGUGCCAAAGUCACGUUUCGUUGCGCUCCCGUUGGUAUGCUGAUACUUAAUUCCUAAGUGCCCUCUCGAGCACCCAGCGACUGCCCCCCCUUGGCUUCCCCUCCGUGUUUAUAGCGUUGGAGGGAAAGAUGUAAUUUUGCCUGGCUCACGUGGCCGGCAGCUGAAUCCUCCUGCCCGCAGCCUGCGGGUUGCCCGGCCCCUCGCUGCCUUUGCAGGAGCUCCCUGACAACUUUUAUAAAUAACCCCUGUAAAAUAGAUAUUAUUGUAAACAUAAUAAAAA
This 1619-nucleotide long non-coding RNA is filed under the name Anas zonorhyncha (Eastern spot-billed duck). RNAcentral's name for it is "lncRNA (ENSAZOG00000016445.1)". The record is from RNAcentral. Lineage: Eukaryota; Metazoa; Chordata; Aves; Anseriformes; Anatidae.